UCGAGAAUUUUUCUCAAUGGGGGCAACCCUGAAGGAGCGACGCCGCGUGAAGGAUGAAGGUCUUCGGAUUGUAAACUUCUGUCAUUGGUGAACAAGGCCCACGGAGUAACUGCCGUUGGGAUUGAUAGUAGCCGAAGAGGAAGAGACGGCUAACUCUGUGCCAGCAGCCGCGGUAAUACAGAGGUCUCGAGCGUUGUUCGGAUUCAUUGGGCGUAAAGGGUGCGUAGGUGGCGGAGUAAGUCUGGUGUGAAAUCCCGGGGCUCAACCCCGGAACUGCACUGGAUACUGCUUUGCUAGAGUACUGGAGAGGAGAUUGGAAUUUACGGUGUAGCAGUGAAAUGCGUAGAUAUCGUAAGGAAGACCAGUGGCGAAGGCGAAUCUCUGGACAGUUACUGACACUGAGGCACGAAGGCCAGGGGAGCAAACGGG
Molecule: ribosomal RNA, 429 nt
Filed under: uncultured bacterium
Lineage: Bacteria
Description: bacterial SSU rRNA
Rfam family: Bacterial small subunit ribosomal RNA
Source: RNAcentral